CCCACCACUCCACGCCCCGCGCACAUCCACCCGCUCUCCUCCCAAUCUAGGCUCCACCGCCUUCUUCCGGCCCCGCCCCGGGUCCAGCUCCCAUUUUUCCGGACUCCUUCCGCAUUCCUCCUGCUAGGGCCCGCCUGCAUUCCUUUUCCCUUCUGCCGGUCCAUUCGCCCCACUCCCUGGCCCACCCCUCUCUCCUAGCGUUUACCUCUCACUCCCGGCCCCACCCCCGCCCUGUCGGCCAGCCCUUCGGUUCAAACCGGUCUGGCCCAGCUCCAGCCCCGUUCCUCUCCGCCCCCUCCCCACCCCGCCCCCAUUCACACACUCCUUUUCCCCCCCCCGCCCCCAUCGGAGCCUGCCCGCCCACUCGCUCGUGGGGUCAGAGGUGAACUGGUAGGAAGAGGGCGACCAUCGAGGGCGCGGUGGUGAUGGAGAUGUUGGUGCCUGUUAUUCUUCCAGCCCGAGUGUGACCUACACCCGCUUAUCCGGAGAAGCGUCGGAAGCUCUUCUCCCCUCGUGUUUGUGCAGCGGAGCUCCGGACCCGGGAGUUUCAUUUCGAUCAGAGCUGGGCCAAUUACUGAAGAGGAUCUCUUCUACUGCAUUUAAGCAGCACAAUAAAUUCAAAGAAACUGAAAUUUCCGACAAUUACAGAACAGGUACGUGCUCUUUCUCCCUUCAUUCGUCUAGGCUCAAAUUUAUCCUCCCUGGGUGAUAAGGGAAUGUGUAAAAAUGAUUGGCCUAAGUCUAAAUUAAAGAUGAAGACAUACAAGAAAACAUUCAAACAUUUCUUUUUUUUUUUUUUUUCACGCAUGCAAAAGCACAGUGAUCUCCAACAGAAAUGAAACCCUGCUGCUGCCACCAGCAGGAUUUCUAACAGACAGGGGGACCCAAUCUUUUCCCGUUCUCUGGGGUCCCUGCAAGCGCCGCGAGACUGGAACCCUCUCUCAAACUUUACACAAACGCAAGGAGGAAAAAUUAAGCAUAUGAUGCGUGUUGGGGCUUCAGGACAAUCCAAGGAAUUUGGGUCUUUCCCGAACUCCAGGGGUAAAAGGAGAAAAGAAGAAGAAGAAGAAAAAGGCAGUUCUCCAGCAUGGAUGUGUAUUGUUUGGUGUAGCUCCCCACCAAGAGGGCAGGAAAGAGGAUCAGCAGUGCUUGGACAUAUCUGGAGCACCAGUAAAGCAGCUGGAGGAAGAGAGAAUGGGGAGCUGUCAAAAGCAGAUGGGAGAAGGCUGAGGCAAGAGGAUAAGGCAGGUAAGGACAACAGGAGAAUUUCCUGGGGCUGCCAGCACAAAGGGUGAGGCUCCGCAGACCCCAAACCACGAUAGUCUUCUGCUUCAGCUGUUAUGGAGGAGCAUUUCUGAGUGCCAGACACUGCAUUCAGUCCACGAUCUCAUUUAAUCCUCACAUCACAGGAAACUGGCUGACACUCAGAGGGGUUAAGUCUAUGCCUUACUUACAUAGCCAGUUCGUGGCAGAGCCUCAAGUCUGCCCAAGGCAUGCUGACCCUGGUCCCUUGCUCUUUCUACCUGACCCGCCACAGCUCACAGAUACUCAGGGAUGCCAUGGAGCCUCGCAAGCAUCCAGACACCUCACUCAUUCUAAUCCAGGCAAAGAAUAGGGAAUGAUUUCUCUUAAAUAUCGCCCCUUUUGAAGCUUUUUCAUGCUUGCCAACACAAAGUUGCCACCACAAACAUACAUCCCUUGAGGAUAAGGGGGUUCCCAAUGGCUAGUCCCAUGAGUCUGUGUUCAGGGAAAUGUUGAAGGGAUGGUAAAAACAAAGGAAACCCCCAUACAAGGCAAUGCUUUUGUUAAGUAACUUUGGGAAACACCAUCUACCUCCCACAAACUCCUGGAGAGUCACUCCACAUGUUAGAAUAUUAAAGAGUAUUAUGACAAAUCCUGCAGAAAAGAGGUCUGUCUAAAGCAUUUCCCCUACUUAUCUGAACACAAAAAAUUUUUUUUUCUCCUAUUGGACAUAAGAUCACAUCAGCUUAUCUUCCAAUGAGCCCAUCUCAGGAAAC
This 2018-nucleotide long non-coding RNA is filed under the name Suricata suricatta (meerkat). RNAcentral describes it as "lncRNA (ENSSSUG00005022947.1)". The record is from RNAcentral. Lineage: Eukaryota; Metazoa; Chordata; Mammalia; Carnivora; Herpestidae.